AUUGCUUCUCGGCCUUUUGGUUAAGGUCAACUGUAGUAGCUGUUCUUACCAGUUUAGUAUCUGAUCCAUCUUCUGCCAAGGGCAUUAUAUUAAAUGGAUUUUUGGAGCUGUAAGAUGGAAUAGGGGCUUGCUCUGUGUAUUCUACACAUCGACCUGGUAUUACAGUACUUCUGGGAAUGUGCACCAAAC
Small nuclear RNA from Artibeus jamaicensis (Jamaican fruit-eating bat), 189 nucleotides. RefSeq annotates it as U2 spliceosomal RNA. Lineage: Eukaryota; Metazoa; Chordata; Mammalia; Chiroptera; Phyllostomidae. The record is from RefSeq and is a predicted model, not a curated record. The transcript has a single exon.